AUUGAACGCUGGCGGCAUGCCUUACACAUGCAAGUCGAACGGCAGCACGGGGGCAACCCUGGUGGCGAGUGGCGAACGGGUGAGUAAUACAUCGGAACGUGUCCUGUUGUGGGGGAUAACCCACCGAAAGGUGAGCUAAUACCGCAUGAUCUGGAGACAGCAAAGCAGGGGACCGCAAGGCCUUGCGCGAUUGGAGCGGCCGAUGUCCGAUUAGCUAGUUGGCGGGGUAAAGGCCCACCAAGGCGACGAUCGGUAGCUGGUCUGAGAGGAUGAUCAGCCACACUGGGACUGAGACACGGCCCAGACUCCUACGGGAGGCAGCAGUGGGGAAUUUUGGACAAUGGGGGCAACCCUGAUCCAGCCAUGCCGCGUGAGUGAAGAAGGCCUUCGGGUUGUAAAGCUCUUUCGGUGGGAACGAAACGGUUACGACUAAUACUUGUGACUACUGACGGUACCUACAGAAGAAGCACCGGCUAACUACGUGC
This 485-nucleotide ribosomal RNA is filed under the name uncultured bacterium. RNAcentral describes it as "bacterial SSU rRNA". It matches the Rfam family "Bacterial small subunit ribosomal RNA", at positions 30 to 508 of the family's 1533-position model. The record is from RNAcentral.